Suricata suricatta (meerkat) is the source of this 2403-nucleotide long non-coding RNA. NCBI's taxonomy places the organism in Eukaryota, Metazoa, Chordata, Mammalia, Carnivora, Herpestidae. The record is from Ensembl.
AUGUCCACCAGGGGUGCCUUGAGGUCCACCUGGGGCACACAGAGGUCCACUCGGGGCGCCUUGAGGUCCACCUGGGGCGCCUUGAUGUCCAACUGGGGCGCCUUGAAGUCCACUUUGGGCAUCUUGAUGCUAGGCAUGUGCACCUUGGGCAGGUGCCCUUUGAGUCCGGCUCCUGCUGAGGCUUCCUGGAGCUGCCCCUCGGGCACUUGGCCCUCCUGCAGCUCGACGCCCAGCGAGGCAGGCUUGAGCUCCAGGUCGGCAGAUGGCAGCUCAACGCCCACAUCACCGGUCAUGCCGUCCGCCUGGAUGGAGGGCAGGGACACGUCGGCCUGGGCCUUAGGCAGGGACACGUCCACCGAGGCCUCCAAGGACUUGCUUGGCGCCGAGGCACCGAAGGAUGGCAUCUUGAACUUGGGCAUCUUGAACUUGCUGUCUCUGGGGGCCGCCUCCCUGUCUCCCAGGGCCAGGUCACCCUCCAGCUUGGCGCCGGGUGCCCUGGCAUCCACCUCCACGCUGGGCAGAGUCACCUCCACGGUGGCGGCGCUCAGCUCACCUUUGGCGCCCUUCACGUCCACCUUGGGCGACUUGAGGUCCAUCUGGGGCGCCUUGAUGUCCACCUGGGGCGCCUUGACGUCCACCUUGGGCAUCUUGAUGCUGGGUACCUGGACCCUGGGCAGCUGGCCCUUGAUCCUGGCCCCUUCUGCUUUGCCUUUCAGCCCGGACGCUGACAGGUCUCCCUCGGGGAGGGACACCUCCACCUCUCCCCCAGGGAGGUCGAUAUCACCAGUGGGCAGUUGCACCGCGCCCUCUGGCGCUCGGAUCUCGCCUUCGAGGGAGGGCAGGGUGGCCGCCACGCCAACUUUGGGCACGGGCACGGGGACGUCCACGGAUGUUCCCAGGUCUUUGCUUGACACCGAGGCGCCGAAGGACGGCAUCUUGAACUUGGGCAUCUUGAACUUGCUGUCUCUGGCGGCCGCCUCCCCGUCUCCCAGGGCCAGGUCACCCUCCAGCUUGGCGCCGGGUGCCCGGGCGUCCAUCUCCACGCUGGGCAGGGUCACCUCCACGGCUGGGGCGCUCAGCUCGCCUUUGGCGCCCUUCACGUCCAACUUGGGUGCCUUGAGGUCCUCCUGGGUCGCCUCGAGGUCCACCUGGGGCACAUGGAGGUCAACCUGGGGAGCCUUGAUGUCCACCUGGGGCACCUUGAUGUCCAUCUGGGGCGCCUUGAAGUCCACUUUGGGCAUCUUGAUGCUGGGCAUGUGCACCUUGGGCAGGUGCCCUUUGAGUCCGGCUCCUGCCGAGGCUUCCUGGUGCUGCCCCUCGGGCACUUGGCCCUCCUGCAGCUCGACGCCCAGCGAGGCAGGCUUGAGCUCCAGGUCGGCAGAUGGCAGCUCAACGUGCACAUCACCGGUCUUGACGUCAGCCUGGAUGGAGGGCAGGGACACUUCGGCCUGGGCCUUGGGUAGGGACGCUUUCACCGAGGCCUCCAAGGACUUGCUUGGCACCGAGGCGCCGAAGGAUGGCGUCUUGAACUUGGGCAUCUUGAACUUGCUGUCUCUGGGGGCCGCCUCCCUGUCUCCUAGGGCCAGGUCACCCUCCAGCUUGGCGCCGGGUGCCCGGGCGUCCACCUCCACGCUGGGCAGGGUCACCUCCACGGCGGGGGCGCUCAGCUCGCCUUUGGCGCCCUUCACGUCCACCUUGGGCGCCUUGAUGUCCACCUGGGGCGCCUUGACAUCCACCUUGGGCAUCUUGAUGCUGGGCACCUGGACCUUGGGCAGCUGGCACUUGAUCCUGGCCCCUUCUGCUUUGCCUUUCAGCCCGGACACUGACACGUCUCCCUCGGGGAGGGACACCUCCAACUCUCCCCCAGGAAGAUCGAUAUCACCAGUGGGCAGUUGCACGGUGCCUUCUGGUCCUCGGAUCUCACCUUCGAGGGAGGGCAGGGUGGCCGCCACGCGAACUUUGGGCACGGGCACGGUGACGUCCACGGAUGUUCCCAGAUCUUUGCUUGGCACCGAGGCGCCGAAGGACGGCAUCUUGAACUUGGGCAUCUUGAACUUGCUGUCUCUGGCGGCCGCCUCCCUGUCUCCCAGGGCCAGGUCACCCUCCAGCUUGGCGCCAGGUGCCCGGGCGUCCACCUCCACGCUGGGCAGAGUCACCUCCACGGCGGAGGCGCUCAGCUCGCCUUUGGCGCCCUUCACGUCCACCAUGGGCACCUUGAGGUCCACCUGGGUCGCCUUGAGGUCCACCUGGGGCACAUGGAGGUCCACCUGGGGCGCCUUGAUGUCCACCUGGGGCACCUUGAUGUCCAUCUGGGGCGCCUUGAAGUCCACUUUGGGCAUCUUGAUGCUGGGCAUGUGCACCUUGGGCAGGUGCCCUUUGAGUCCGGCUCCUGCCGAGGCUUCC